This 809-nucleotide long non-coding RNA is filed under the name Nicotiana benthamiana. RNAcentral's name for it is "long non-coding RNA (NBEN_LNC030296)". Lineage: Eukaryota; Viridiplantae; Streptophyta; Magnoliopsida; Solanales; Solanaceae. The record is from RNAcentral.
ACUUAGCAGCCCUAGACCUUGUUUCAAUGAUCUUCUUGUCUCUCAAUUGGUGCAGUUGCCUAGAUGUCAUUGCUUCUUUACCCUUCCACUUUACACCUCUUGUUGGUCGAUGGCCUAGAUCUCCAGUAACUUCUGCCGAGGACAUCACAUCUCUAAAGUUUGUAGAUGACAUUCCAGGCUGUCAUAAACCAACAGAAAAUUAGACAAUUGAAAUAACCUAAAUAUGAUAGAUUGUGUUGGACUUACAUUUUGAAUUCGAGGACCUCACAUCUCUAAAGUUUGUAGAUGACAUUCCAGACUGAAAUAACCUAAAUAUGAUAGCUUGUGUUGGACUUACAUUUGAAAUUUUGAAUCCACUUUGAGAGUGUAAAACACCCAUGCCAAUCAUCAUUGGUUUCUUAAAAUGUGUUCUUACAUCACUUCUGUCACGACCCAAACCUCGGCCGUGAUGGCGCCAUACACCUUGUUAGGCAAGCUCGACCAUUUAUACAUUCCCAAUAAAAUCAUUAUCUUAAUUGCCAAUUUUUAGGAUAAAAUUCUCACUUUGAUAAUAGUUAAAAUACUGCGGAAAAACGUAAUCAAAAGUAAUAACAGCCCAAAGGAUCCGGCGUCACAAGUCAGAGCCUCUAGAUACAACCGAACAGUAUCCCAUACAAAUGAAAAUCUUGGUGGGAAGUAAAGAUAGAUAAAAGGAGAGUUCAGGUCCUGCGGACGCCAACAGCUACCUUGAUAACUCCGAUACUGAGCUGAGCAACAACAGAUAGUCGCAGCUAAGCCUCCGGGAUCCCUGUAAAUGCACACAAGGUGCA